GUUGAGAAUUGGCCGAAUCUGAUAUGUUUCAGUACGGGGGAGAUUUUUGCUUUUUGGGGUGAACCGCCUUAGGGCGGAGGGUUGCUCUCGACCCGAACCCGUCAACUAACCUCGGAGGCCCUACGGGAGGUUAC
This 134-nucleotide small RNA is filed under the name Tumebacillus algifaecis. RNAcentral's name for it is "c-di-AMP sequence". It matches the Rfam family "c-di-AMP riboswitch aptamer (ydaO/yuaA leader)". From Rfam's summary of the family: This family represents a conserved RNA structure found upstream of the ydaO and yuaA genes in Bacillus subtilis and related genes in other bacteria. The ydaO/yuaA element is thought to act as a genetic "off" switch for the ydaO and yuaA genes in its native state. The record is from Rfam by way of RNAcentral. Lineage: Bacteria; Bacillati; Bacillota; Bacilli; Caryophanales; Alicyclobacillaceae.